Molecule: long non-coding RNA, 1921 nt
Organism: Peromyscus eremicus (cactus mouse)
Lineage: Eukaryota; Metazoa; Chordata; Mammalia; Rodentia; Cricetidae
Exons: 2
Source: RefSeq, a predicted model, not a curated record
GUGAUGUUCCAGACGCACAGGCCAUUGGCAGGGAGAAGCUAGGGGUGUGGGGCAGGACCUCUGCCCCUGUCAUGGCUUCAGAUCAGAGGAAGUAGCUGCUUUCUCCGGCCAUGUGCAUCUGUGACUGCUGUACCCUGUGUGAUCCUGGGCAGAGAUGUGAGGCGGCCGUCUUGGGUCUGACGCCCAGGCUGUUAUCCACAUUCAGCCUUCUGCACUGGCCCAGACAGAGAAGCAGAUCAGGGGCUUUGCAGGUAUGGCAAAGAAAAGAAAGGCAGGGACUGUGGAGGCCCAGAGGAGGCCUGUGUCAUCCCUGCCACCAGAGGCCGCACAUCUAGCUCCUCUGCUUGGGCCGCACUAGCCUCUGCACAAAGAAGGCAAUGCAGCCCCACCUCUCCUACAGAGCGAAGCUUGCACUAGCUUUUAGCCACCUGCUGGUGAGCCUGGCCCAACCUUCAGGGAGUGAAAUUCUUGGGCAUUCGUGGUAAACCAGGCCCACUGAGGGUGCCAAGGUCCGGUGUUAAAUCGGCCCCCUCUCUUCAGAAAAAAAGGGUGGACGCUGUGAUGCCUCGGCCAGGAAGGCACAGAGUCAGCGCUGUCUCAGUCUUACGUCUUCCCCCACAAAGAGUAGCCCAUGGCUCUGGCCACCCCACCAGAAAAGAACAGAGACCUUGGGAGACCACAUGAUGCCCCUGCCUUCAUCCCUUGAUCAUGUCCAGGCCCCGUGCUGGCGCUGGAAGUUCCAGCCACAGUGAGGUCCCUUCUGUCGACUUCAUCAACAGAAGAUAAGAAAAUGUAACAAAAACUUACGUAGCAUGUGCUGUGUGUCAGGCUCUGUUCAAGGCUCAAGGAUGCAGGAUGGCAAAUAAGGUCCCUCCCCACUCCCACGUCCAGUGCUUACAUAUUAAUCAGAAGAGAGAAAUACAGGAGCAAAAAAGGGUUAUUUCAGAUCAUCGUAAUUGCUAUGAAAAAAAAAAUAAGCAAUAUGAGAACAUAGAGGUAAUUUAGAGAAGGUGGAUCAGCUCAAAGGAGGUGGCAUUUCAUUGACAGCGAGGAGCCUGACCACAUGAAGGUCAGGCAGGAGGCCGUUCUUGGCAGAGAGAAGAGCAAUGGAGAAACAGCAUGGACCUUUUGUAGAAAGAAAGACACUCGGCCCCUGAGAGAGGACGGCAGUUCAAGAGUCACAGAAGAGGAGGACAAACUCAGCCUCCAUCUCUUGCUCCUCAACCAAGUGCUGUCAGGAGACAGCUGGGGACACCACUCCUCCCCCAUUGCCUCUGCCAAACUGAUCCCUCUCUUUCUCCAGGUUUUCAGUCCCUGCCCCUAACCCCUGGGGUUGGAUUAGGUCAGUAUUUCCUGUGUCUUCUGUCAUACCCUUCCCAAUUAAAUGAGGUUUCCCAUUUCCAGGAGUCUCCUCAACUACGCUGCUCCUGAGUCUUCUCUCAGGAUCUAGGGAGGAUUGGUCCAGGGACACUCUUCCCAGGGAUACAAAAGCCAAUGGAUAGCCAGGCAAAGUGGCACACCCCCACACUUGGGAAGUGGCGCAAGGGAAUAGUGAGUUCUAGGCCAGCCUGGAGUACACACAGAGACCCUGUCUCAAAACAAGAAAAGACAAAUAUAUAAAAUGACUCCAUAUUCACAUCCAACCUAAGUACAUCUUCUUGAACACUCGGCUAAAUCACCUGCAGCAUGUUUAGACUACCUAACCCAAUGUGAAUGCUCUGUAGAUGUUCUGUUGUGUUGUUUAGGAACAACAACAACAAGGAGAAUAUCCGUAUGUGUUCAGUAGAUACCUGUUUUUAUAUAGUAUUUUGCUGUCCAUGGUUGAUUGAAUCUGAGGAUUGAAACUCAUGCAUAUGAAGCACCCACUGUAUUUUCCUGAAAUCCUCUCACUUAAUAAACUUCACUUCAUCCUAAGCAAUCA